CGGCGUGCUUAACACAUGCAAGUCGAACGCGAAAGGGACUUCGGUCCUGAGUAAAGUGGCGCACGGGUGAGUAACGCGUAGAUAACCUGUCUUCAUGUCUGGAAUAAUACGCCGAAAGGGGUACUAAUACCGGAUAUUCUUGCUUUUCAUAAGUUAUGCAAGCAAAGGUGGCCUCUGCAUAUGCUACUGCAUGAAGAGGGGUCUGCGUACCAUUAGCUAGUAGGUGGGGUAAUGGCCUACCUAGGCGACGAUGGUUAGCGGGUCUGAGAGGAUGAUCCGCCACACUGGCACUGGAACACGGGCCAGACUCCUACGGGAGGCAGCAGUGAGGAAUAUUGCGCAAUGGGGGAAACCCUGACGCAGCGACGCCGCGUGAGUGAGGAAAGGCCUUCGGGUCGUAAAGCUCUGUCAAGAGGAAAGAAGUGUACAAUGGCUAAUACCUGUUGUAUUUGACGGUACCUCUAAAGGAAGCACCGGCUAACUCCGUGCCAGCAGCAGC
Molecule: ribosomal RNA, 499 nt
Filed under: uncultured bacterium
Lineage: Bacteria
Description: bacterial SSU rRNA
Rfam family: Bacterial small subunit ribosomal RNA
Source: RNAcentral